CUACGGGUGGCAGCAGUGGGGAAUAUUGGACAAUGGGCGAAAGCCUGAUCCAGCAAUGCCGCGUGAGUGAUGAAGGCCUUAGGGUUGUAAAGCUCUUUUACCCGGGAUGAUAAUGACAGUACCGGGAGAAUAAGCUCCGGCUAACUCCGUGCCAGCAGCCGCGGUAAUACGGAGGGAGCUAGCGUUGUUCGGAAUUACUGGGCGUAAAGCGCACGUAGGCGGCUUUGUAAGUUAGAGGUGAAAGCCUGGAGCUCAACUCCAGAAUUGCCUUUAAGACUGCAUCGCUCGAAUCCAGGAGAGGUGAGUGGAAUUCCGAGUGUAGAGGUGAAAUUCGUAGAUAUUCGGAAGAACACCAGUGGCGAAGGCGGCUCACUGGACUGGUAUUGACGCUGAGGUGCGAAAGCGUGGGGAGCAAACAGGAUUAGAUACCCCAGUAGUC
RNAcentral lists this ribosomal RNA (439 nucleotides) under uncultured bacterium. Its description in RNAcentral is "partial 16S ribosomal RNA". It matches the Rfam family "Bacterial small subunit ribosomal RNA", at positions 339 to 795 of the family's 1533-position model. The record is from RNAcentral.